UGGGUGGUAAUGCCGGAUGUGCCGGGCUCCUGCAUGGGGGUCCGGGAAAGCUCUGGCGGCGUGGGAUGGGGUCGCGUCCUAUCAGCUUGUUGGCGGGGUGAGGGCCCACCAAGGCUUCGACGGGUAGCCGGCCUGAGAGGGCGACCGGCCACAUUGGGACUGAGAUACGGCCCAGACUCCUACGGGAGGCAGCAGUGGGGAAUAUUGCACAAUGGGCGCAAGCCUGAUGCAGCGACGCCGCGUGCGGGAUGGAGGCCUUCGGGUUGUAAACCG
Molecule: ribosomal RNA, 273 nt
Filed under: Bifidobacterium ruminantium
Lineage: Bacteria; Bacillati; Actinomycetota; Actinomycetes; Bifidobacteriales; Bifidobacteriaceae
Description: partial 16S ribosomal RNA
Rfam family: Bacterial small subunit ribosomal RNA
Source: RNAcentral